This 1066-nucleotide long non-coding RNA is filed under the name Marmota monax (woodchuck). The record is from RNAcentral. Lineage: Eukaryota; Metazoa; Chordata; Mammalia; Rodentia; Sciuridae.
GAACUGGCUUUCUUACUUUUUGGUUUUUGGUGCUGGGGAUUGAACACGGGCUCAUGAGGGCUAGGCAAGCCCUGGGCCCCUGAGACCACCCGGCCUCUCUGCACCUGUGCGUUAGUCUUUGUGUUGACCACUUGUGUUAUAGGUGGACAGGGCUCACUGUGCAGACCUAGCAUACACAGCUUAAUUCCUGUAGUCUGCCCACACUCAGAGGCAGGAGCACUGCUGCCAUUUCCCCCCGCAGGCCAGGGACAGAGGUGGGACUCUUGCACUAUCUAUGUUUCAGCUUCAUCAUCAGUAAAAUAGAGAUAAUAAUAGUAGCCAUUUGUAGAGUAAGAACUAGAUGAGAUACAUGUUGUUAGGGAGGGGAAAAAUUUCCUGCGUCCUUUUUGGUCCAAUUAAUGGGGCCCUGCUAAUUUAAAAAUUAACAGGAGGAAAAGCAUUAAACUUCUAUUCAUAUUCACAUGCACAGAAGUUCACAGAAAAGAAGUAAGCUCAAAGAAGCAAACAGAUUGGAGGACUUGGGUUCCAUUUUAACAAAGGAAAUGGGUUUGUUUCAAGGGAAUCAAGGGCCAGGAGUAUGUGGGGGACUGUGAAGAUGGGUGACUGUAGUACAGGUGUCAGUGCAUGCUCAUCUUGAUGCCUUCCCCAUGUCCCCCAAGGAGUCACACCCCUUCCUAGUGUGGGAGUAGGGGCACCUUCACAAGGGAAAUGCGUACCUUGAUUUGAGGAGAACAGGAGUGGGCAUCGUCCUGGGUGACCCAAGGCCAAGCACACCUCCUGCACUGUUGAGUCCCAGUGCCUUUGACUCCAAGUAACUAUGCCAUGGGUGGCAUGUGGGAGGUAUUUAGGGUCCUUUCACAUGGAAAGUACUUAGCACUGUUCCUGCCCAAGUCCCAUACCCACAGUAAACAUUUGCUAUUAUUUUAUAUUUACUGUAGAUCUUUGGUGGUGGCUGUUUGCUUUUCUUUUUGGGGAUUGAACCCACUGGUGCUUUACCACUGAGCCACAUCCCAGUUCUUUUUCUAUUUUUUUGUUUUGUUUUGUUUUGAGACAGGGGUCUCACUAA